UAUAAUUUACUUGAUCUUGACACAAUCCUACUUGGAUAACUGUGGUAAUUCUAGAGCUAAUACAUGCAUUAAAGCUCUGACCUCACGGGAAGAGUGCAUUUAUUAGAACAAAACCAAGCGGCUUCGGCUGUUUCUGGUUGACUCAUAGUAACUGAGCUGAUCGCAUGGUCUUGCACCGGCGACGUGUCUUUCAAGUAUCUGCCGUAUCAACUUUCGAUGGUAGUGUAUCUGACUACCAUGGUGAUCACGCGUAACGGAGAAUAAGGGUUCGGCUCCGGAGAGUUCGCCUGAGAAAUCGCGAACACAUCUAAGGAAGGCAGCAGGCGCGAAAAUUACCCACUCUCAGCACGAGGAGGUAGUGACGAAAAAUAACGAGACCGUUCUCUUAUGAGGCCGGUCAUCGGAAUGGGUACAAUUUAAACCCUUUAACGAGUAUCUAUGAGAGGGCAAGUCUGGUGCCAGCAGCCGCGGUAAUUCCAGCUCUCAAAGUGCAUAGAAUUAUUGCUGCGGUUAAAAAGCUCGUAGUUGGAUCUGUGCCAUAGGACGUGGUCCACCUUCGGGUGCGUACUACGCUCCUAGGCUUUUUGCUGGUUUUCCCGUCGUAGCCUUCACUGGUUGCGGCGGGUGGCUGGCGAGUUUACUUUGAGAAAAUCAGAGUGCUCAAUACAGGCGUAUCGCUUGAAUGAUUGUGCAUGGAAUAAUAGAAAAGGAUUUCGGUCCUCUUUUAUUGGUUUUGUGGACUGAGAUAAUGGUUAACAGGGACAAACG
This 768-nucleotide ribosomal RNA is filed under the name Acrobeloides sp. 28 TWN1126. RNAcentral describes it as "SSU rRNA". It matches the Rfam family "Eukaryotic small subunit ribosomal RNA", at positions 111 to 884 of the family's 1831-position model. The record is from RNAcentral. Lineage: Eukaryota; Metazoa; Nematoda; Chromadorea; Rhabditida; Cephalobidae.